Molecule: small nuclear RNA, 155 nt
Filed under: Propithecus coquereli (Coquerel's sifaka)
Lineage: Eukaryota; Metazoa; Chordata; Mammalia; Primates; Indriidae
Description: U1 spliceosomal RNA (ENSPCOG00000000232.1)
Rfam family: U1 spliceosomal RNA
About the family: U1 is a small nuclear RNA (snRNA) component of the spliceosome (involved in pre-mRNA splicing). Its 5' end forms complementary base pairs with the 5' splice junction, thus defining the 5' donor site of an intron.
Source: Rfam by way of RNAcentral
UGACUUACCUGGCAGGGGAGACACCACGAUCACGAAGACGGUUUUCCCAGGGCAAGUCUUAUCCAUUGCACUCCGGAUGUGCUGACCCUACGAUUUCCCCAAAUGUGGGAAACUCGGCUGCAUAAUUUGUAGGACUGCAUUUGUGAUCUCCCUGA